This is a long non-coding RNA of Sander lucioperca (pikeperch), 148 nucleotides long. RefSeq lists it as uncharacterized. Lineage: Eukaryota; Metazoa; Chordata; Actinopteri; Perciformes; Percidae. The transcript is spliced from 3 exons. The record is from RefSeq and is a predicted model, not a curated record.
UCCCACAUUUCCUUUUUCAUAAAUUUGUAUCAGAUUGUAUCCCCCUUUCUCCCAAUUUGGUAGCCAAUUACACCCAACCUAUUAUCCAGUAGCAAUGGACUACAGAUGGAAUGUAGCUUUUAGCUAAAUCUGGUAACUAAUCCUAACC